AUUUUAAAAUUUUGGUUUGUGAUACCAGAGAUCUUAUUGAGGAUAGGCUAUGUUUUUCUGCUAC
This 64-nucleotide transfer RNA is filed under the name Penthicodes caja. RNAcentral describes it as "tRNA-His". Lineage: Eukaryota; Metazoa; Arthropoda; Insecta; Hemiptera; Fulgoridae. The record is from RNAcentral.